GAUGAACGCUAGCUACAGGCUUAACACAUGCAAGCCGAGGGGUAACGAGAGGGAAGCUUGCUUUCCUUGUCGACGACCGGCGCACGGGUGUGUAACGCGUAUCCAACCUGCCCCCAACUAGGGAAUAACCUUGCGAAAGUAAGACUAAUACCCUAUAAUUUCCUCAGAUGUCAUCUGACGAGGAAUAAAGAUUUAUCGGUUGUGGAUGGGGAUGCGUCUGAUUAGCUUGUUGGCGGGGUAACGGCCCACCAAGGCAACGAUCAGUAGGGGUUCUGAGAGGAAGGUCCCCCACAUUGGAACUGAGACACGGUCCAAACUCCUACGGGAGGCAGCAGUGAGGAAUAUUGGUCAAUGGGCGGAAGCCUGAACCAGCCAAGUAGCGUGCAGGAUGACGGCCCUAUGGGUUGUAAACUGCUUUUAUACAGGAAUAAAGUUAGCCACGUGUGGUUAUUUGUAGGUACUGUAUGAAUAAGGACCGGCUAAUUCCGUGCCAGCCACCGCGGUAA
RNAcentral lists this ribosomal RNA (506 nucleotides) under uncultured bacterium. RNAcentral's name for it is "partial 16S ribosomal RNA". It matches the Rfam family "Bacterial small subunit ribosomal RNA", at positions 28 to 523 of the family's 1533-position model. The record is from RNAcentral.